UAAGGGAGCUACCAUUUGAUUUUUAUGGGGGGGGCUAGGAUGAAAAAUUUUGUCCUGCAUUUUUUUUUAGCUGUAAUCUCUGUCCUGCCUUUUUAUUUUUCACUCUAAUCGGUCCUGCCUUUUUUUUUAGUUUAUCCUGACUUUUUUUUACCUAAAUUGUCGUCCUGACUUUUUUUUUUGCAAGUGUCACAUCCUGCCUUUUUUUUUUACUCAAAACUCCUGUCCUGCCUAUUUUUUUCAAAUUUCAUCCUACCCCCCCAUAAAAAUCAAAUGGUAGCUACCUAAG
RNAcentral lists this long non-coding RNA (286 nucleotides) under Mytilus galloprovincialis (Mediterranean mussel). Lineage: Eukaryota; Metazoa; Mollusca; Bivalvia; Mytilida; Mytilidae. The record is from RNAcentral.